GGGGACGUAGCUCAGAUGGGAGAGCGCUCACUUAGCAUGCGAGAGGUACGGGGAUCGAUACCCUGCAUCUCCA
Molecule: transfer RNA, 73 nt
Filed under: Ipomoea nil (Japanese morning glory)
Lineage: Eukaryota; Viridiplantae; Streptophyta; Magnoliopsida; Solanales; Convolvulaceae
Rfam family: tRNA
About the family: Transfer RNA (tRNA) molecules are approximately 80 nucleotides in length. Their secondary structure includes four short double-helical elements and three loops (D, anti-codon, and T loops).
Source: Rfam by way of RNAcentral